This 493-nucleotide ribosomal RNA is filed under the name uncultured bacterium. RNAcentral describes it as "bacterial SSU rRNA". It matches the Rfam family "Bacterial small subunit ribosomal RNA", at positions 28 to 507 of the family's 1533-position model. The record is from RNAcentral.
GAUGAACGCUAGCUACAGGCUUAACACAUGCAAGUCGAGGGGAAACGACAUCGAAAGCUUGCUUUUGAUGGGCGUCGACCGGCGCACGGGUGAGUAACGCGUAUCCAACCUGCCCACCACUUGGGGAUAACCUUGCGAAAGUAAGACUAAUACCCAAUGAUAUCCCACGAAGGCAUCCGAAUGGGAUUAAAGAUUUAUCGGUGAUGGAUGGGGAUGCGUCUGAUUAGCUUGUUGGCGGGGUAACGGCCCACCAAGGCGACGAUCAGUAGGGGUUCUGAGAGGAAGGUCCCCCCACAUUGGAACUGAGACACGGUCCAAACUCCUACGGGAGGCAGCAGUGAGGAAUAUUGGUCAAUGGGCGAGAGCCUGAACCAGCCAAGUAGCGUGCAGGACGACGGCCCUAUGGGUUGUAAACUGCUUUUAUAAGGGAAUAAAGUGAGUCUCGUGAGACUUUUUGCAUGUACCUUAUGAAUAAGGACCGGCUAAUUCCGUG